Molecule: ribosomal RNA, 401 nt
Filed under: uncultured bacterium
Lineage: Bacteria
Description: bacterial SSU rRNA
Rfam family: Bacterial small subunit ribosomal RNA
Source: RNAcentral
UGGGAAUAUUGGACAAUGGGCGCAAGCCUGAUCCAGCCAUGCCGCGUGAGUGAUGAAGGCCCUAGGGUUGUAAAGCUCUUUCAACGGUGAAGAUAAUGACGGUAACCGUAGAAGAAGCCCCGGCUAACUUCGUGCCAGCAGCCGCGGUAAUACGAAGGGUGCGAGCGUUAAUCGGAAUUACUGGGCGUAAAGCGCACGUAGGCGGAUCGGAAAGUUGGGGGUGAAAUCCCGGGGGCUCAACCCCGGAACUGCCUCCAAAACUAUCGGUCUAGAGUUCGAGAGAGGUGAGUGGAAUUCCGAGUGUAGAGGUGAAAUUCGUAGAUAUUCGGAGGAACACCAGUGGCGAAGGCGGCUCACUGGCUCGAUACUGACGCUGAGGUGCGAAAGUGUGGGGAAGCAAA